GUCCUCUCCGCUAUGCCGACGUUCGCCCUCACGGUGUUGAGAGCACCAAAGAAGUUUUUCAAGGAGGUAGAUAAAGCCAGACGUCGUUUCCUCUGGGCACAAGACGAAGAAGCAACCGGAGGAAAGUGCGAGGUAGCAUGGAGCGCGGUCACCACGCCGGAAUCCCACGGAGGCCUCGGUAUCCAUGAUCUGGACAAAUUCGCGCGCGCCCUCCGUCUGCGCUGGCUCUGGCUCUCCUGGACCCAUCCAGAGCGGCCAUGGGUCGGCACGGACACGCCAUGCAACCUGCAGGAUCAAGCCCUC
This 303-nucleotide ribosomal RNA is filed under the name Triticum aestivum (bread wheat). RNAcentral describes it as "partial small subunit ribosomal RNA". Lineage: Eukaryota; Viridiplantae; Streptophyta; Magnoliopsida; Poales; Poaceae. The record is from RNAcentral.